GGAUUAGAUACCCUGGUAGUCCACGCCGUAAACGAUGCGCACUAGAUCCCGGAGGUUCUGACACCACCGGGGUCGAAGCAAAAGUAUUAAGUGCGCCGCCUGGGGAGUACGGUCGCAAGGCUAAAACUCAAAGGAAUUGACGGGGGCUCACACAAGCGGUGGAGCAUGUGGCUUAAUUCGAAGCAACGCGAAGAACCUUAUCCUGGGUUUGACAUGCAUGGAUUAACUCGAUGAAAGUCGAGCCACGCCCUUUGGGUGGAACAUGCACAGGUGCUGCAUGGCUGUCGUCAGCUCGUGUUG
Molecule: ribosomal RNA, 300 nt
Filed under: uncultured bacterium
Lineage: Bacteria
Description: bacterial SSU rRNA
Rfam family: Bacterial small subunit ribosomal RNA
Source: RNAcentral